AAAAGUGAAAUAUUGGGAAAGGGUAGGUUUCCAUGUCAAAUUUGAGGGUAAUAGGUCUUAUUGUAUCCCCAAAUUGCAUUAAAUCCUGAGAAUAUGACCAUUUUCAAAUGCGAAACUGUGGGGUCAUGACCUCUUGUUGUUGUUGUGUUCUUUGUUACUCAGGAAGGAAAACUGCGGUAGGCAUAUUGUAUUUUGGGUUCUUUUUAAGCUGGAAUCGCUAGUAGGGUCACGCUGUGAAUUAUUGCGCGAAAACCACCUGGAUACCUGGUAUUUAUUCAUGGUUUGAUGGGUUGUGCUAUGUUUUGCGUGUAAAAAUAUCAUUCCAAAAGCAGGCUAUCAUUACGUUUCAUUCGUCCCCAGCCACUUUCGUACAUGGUAAAAAGUUGAUUUUGAAGCCCCUUUUUGCGGCCUUGUCAUUCUUUCACUUUUGUCAAUAGUAUCACCUGUACAGGUUCCAUAUGCUCUUUUUUUAUCUUAAAUGUAAGUUUCAGACUACUUGUGUGCAGUGAAUGUGUUUUUAUGAUUGCAGGUUCAUUGUUUUCUGAAUUGAGCGUGGUGGAGAUCAAGAAGGCGUCCGCGGCUCCGAGAGAGUGUGUGUCUACCGUGGUCUGCUACCUUAAGUGGUUCAUUGUUUUCUGAAUUGAGCGUGGUGGAGAUCAAGAAGGCGUCCGCGGCUCCGAGAGAGUGUGUGUCUACCGUGGUCUGCUACCUUAAGUGGUUCAUUGUUUUCUGAAUUGAGCGUGGUGGAGAUCAAGAAGGCGUCCGCGGCUCCGAGAGAGUGUGUGUCUACCGUGGUCUGCUACCUUAAGUGGUUCAUUGUUUUCUGAAUUGAGCGUGGUGGAGAUCAAGAAGGCGUCCGCGGCUCCGAGAGAGUGUGUGUCUACCGUGGUCUGCUACCUUAAGUGGUUCAUUGUUUUCUGAAUUGAGCGUGGUGGAGAUCAAGAAGGCGUCCGCGGCUCCGAGAGAGUGUGUGUCUACCGUGGUCUGCUACCUUAAGUGGUUCAUUGUUUUCUGAAUUGAGCGUGGUGGAGAUCAAGAAGGCGUCCGCGGCUCCGAGAGAGUGUGUGUCUACCGUGGUCUGCUACCUUAAGUGGUUCAUUGUUUUCUGAAUUGAGCGUGGUGGAGAUCAAGAAGGCGUCCGCGGCUCCGAGAGAGUGUGUGUCUACCGUGGUCUGCUACCUUAAGUGGUUCAUUGUUUUCUGAAUUGAGCGUGGUGGAGAUCAAGAAGGCGUCCGCGGCUCCGAGAGAGUGUGUGUCUACCGUGGUCUGCUACCUUAAGUGGUUCAUUGUUUUCUGAAUUGAGCGUGGUGGAGAUCAAGAAGGCGUCCGCGGCUCCGAGAGAGUGUGUGUCUACCGUGGUCUGCUACCUUAAGUGGUUCAUUGUUUUCUGAAUUGAGCGUGGUGGAGAUCAAGAAGGCGUCCGCGGCUCCGAGAGAGUGUGUGUCUACCGUGGUCUGCUACCUUAAGUGGUAAAUGACAAAUUUUUGUUUACACAGCCUGCCUGUGAAAUGUAUUUUUUUAAGCUUUUGUACUAACGUGCAGUGUGAAAAUGGGCUUUGGAGAGCUUAGUUUUCACAAUUUGGAUGUAAAUAACUGAUCUGAAAAAGGGAGGUAAUUCAAAUAUUAAAAAAUGGCUAUUUUCAGCUGGAAUCCGAAAAAAGCUCUUACAGUGAUUUCGCUGUCCGACCUCCAGUUUGUUAUUAUUUUAUCACGUUACUCUUACUGUAACAUGUUAUUUGAGUGUUUCUCAUGUUCUUAUUGUCUUAUGUAUACUUGAACAGUUGUAUUAAUGUAAGAAAAUGAGCCAAAUAGACAAAAAUCAAGAAAAUUAGCACCCCGAAGGCUGAAAAAUCAACUAUUUUUCUCAAAAAUUAGGUCCAGACAUGUUGGGAAAGGUAUCGGCGGUGCAAGUAAGAUGUAUAUAAGCAUGAGCAGAGUGUUUAAAUGGUUUCCAAAAGGUUCCAGGAGACAUUUAAAGUGUGUCUCUCUUGGAACUCUGAAAGCAUGAA
Molecule: long non-coding RNA, 2009 nt
Organism: Dreissena polymorpha
Lineage: Eukaryota; Metazoa; Mollusca; Bivalvia; Myida; Dreissenidae
Exons: 10
Source: RefSeq, a predicted model, not a curated record